UACGAAGGGGGCUAGCGUUGCUCGGAAUCACUGGGCGUAAAGCGCACGUAGGCGGCUUUUUAAGUCAGGGGUGAAAUCCUGGAGCUCAACUCCAGAACUGCCUUCGAUACUGGCGACCUUGAGUCCGGGAGAGGUGAGUGGAACUCCGAGUGUAGAGGUGAAAUUCGUAGAUAUUCGGAAGAACACCAGUGGCGAAGGCGGCUCACUGGCCCGGUACUGACGCUGAGGUGCGAAAGCGUGGGGAGCAAACAGG
RNAcentral lists this ribosomal RNA (253 nucleotides) under uncultured bacterium. Its description in RNAcentral is "partial 16S ribosomal RNA". It matches the Rfam family "Bacterial small subunit ribosomal RNA", at positions 524 to 776 of the family's 1533-position model. The record is from RNAcentral.